AUGCAGUACGGUCAGUGCCACCGUGCAGCUCAUUGGUGGCGUGCGUGUGGUUGGCGGCUAGCAGCGUGCAGUUUGAUACAUCUAUGUUAUAGUUCUUUUGCUGUGUGUUUGUGUUGGGCCAAAGUGUGCAGGGCAAAUAGGGCUUGCGUGCUGUCCAGAGCUCCUCUCCUCCUGAUGGUAUCUACCUUGGAUUCGAAACAAGGUUCGCUGGGUGUGCGUGUGUCGCUCGGCGCACAACACGUGCACUUCACUAUUGUGGGGAUUGUUGUUGUUGGAAAUGUGUGUAAUUAUUCAGUUGAGAAGUUCAUUUUAAGAUGCAUCGAUGGUUUCAUUUUUCAUGAAAAAUGUUAUGAUUCAGUCCACUUCAAGGAGCCCCGAGGUUCACUUUGUUCUGUAUGA
RNAcentral lists this ribosomal RNA (399 nucleotides) under Triticum aestivum (bread wheat). RNAcentral's name for it is "partial small subunit ribosomal RNA". The record is from RNAcentral. Lineage: Eukaryota; Viridiplantae; Streptophyta; Magnoliopsida; Poales; Poaceae.